This 450-nucleotide ribosomal RNA is filed under the name uncultured bacterium. RNAcentral describes it as "partial 16S ribosomal RNA". It matches the Rfam family "Bacterial small subunit ribosomal RNA", at positions 354 to 796 of the family's 1533-position model. The record is from RNAcentral.
GUGGGGAAUAUUGGACAAUGGGCGAAAGCCUGAUCCAGCCAUGCCGCGUGUGUGAAGAAGGUCUUCGGAUUGUAAAGCACUUUAAGUUGGGAGGAAGGGUAGUAACCUAAUACGUUGCUACUUUGACGUUACCGACAGAAUAAGCACCGGCUAACUUCGUGCCAGCAGCCGCGGUAAUACGAAGGGUGCAAGCGUUAAUCGGAAUUACUGGGCGUAAAGCGCGCGUAGGUGGUUCAGUAAGUUGGAAGUGAAAUCCCCGGGCUCAACCUGGGAACUGCUUUCAAAACUGCUGAGCUAGAGUACGGUAGAGGGUGGUGGAAUUUCCGGUGUAGCGGUGAAAUGCGUAGAUAUAGGAAGGAACACCAGUGGCGAAGGCGACUACCUGGACUGAUACUGACACUGAGGUGCGAAAGCGUGGGGAGCAAACAGGAUUAGAUACCCUUGUAGUCC